This 450-nucleotide ribosomal RNA is filed under the name uncultured bacterium. RNAcentral describes it as "partial 16S ribosomal RNA". It matches the Rfam family "Bacterial small subunit ribosomal RNA", at positions 354 to 796 of the family's 1533-position model. The record is from RNAcentral.
GUGGGGAAUUUUGGACAAUGGGCGCAAGCCUGAUCCAGCAAUGCCGCGUGCAGGAAGAAGGCCUUCGGGUUGUAAACUGCUUUUGUACGGAACGAAACGGUCCUGGUUAAUACCUGGGGCUAAUGACGGUACCGUAAGAAUAAGCACCGGCUAACUACGUGCCAGCAGCCGCGGUAAUACGUAGGGUGCGAGCGUUAAUCGGAAUUACUGGGCGUAAAGCGUGCGCAGGCGGUGCUGUAAGACAGGCGUGAAAUCCCCGGGCUCAACCUGGGAAUUGCGCUUGUGACUGCAGUGCUGGAGUACGGCAGAGGGGGAUGGAAUUCCGCGUGUAGCAGUGAAAUGCGUAGAGAUUUGGAGGAAUACCAGUGGCGAAGGCGGCCCCCUGGCACAACACUGACGCUCAGGUGCGAAAGCGUGGGGAGCAAACAGGAUUAGAAACCCGUGUAGUCC